This is a long non-coding RNA of Lotus japonicus, 399 nucleotides long. RefSeq lists it as uncharacterized. The transcript has 3 exons. Lineage: Eukaryota; Viridiplantae; Streptophyta; Magnoliopsida; Fabales; Fabaceae. The record is from RefSeq and is a predicted model, not a curated record.
AACCCCCUAAAAAUCCCUAACACUCUCCUCUCAGAACUUCACGAUAUAUGACAAAGAGAGACUAUGAACCCUAGCUUUCUCCAUCUCAAUUGAUCGUGAUCGACCCUCCUCCCUCCGCCGGCACCGCUCGUAUCGCGCGACCGUUCUCUCUCCACCAGCAGGGCUCAUCUUGCGUGAUCCUCCUCUCUUUGCUGUUGAAGGAGGUUUGGUCUGGAUUGUUGGCAUUGAAGUUUGGGGAAUUGUUUAAAUUGUCUUCGUGAAGAUGAAAUUUCUGCUAUUAAGAAGCAACAUAAAGAUGAAAUGACUGGUAUGAAGAGGCAGAUGGAUGGAUUAACAUUACUUGUAAGGAACAUGUUGAAGCUACAACACCCAAAUUUAGAUGAAGAAGAGAUCUCCAAU